RNA transcript from Pan troglodytes (chimpanzee), 2009 nucleotides. It is a transcript of the gene named valosin containing protein lysine methyltransferase, with no coding region annotated. The transcript has 7 exons. The record is from RefSeq and is a predicted model, not a curated record. NCBI's taxonomy places the organism in Eukaryota, Metazoa, Chordata, Mammalia, Primates, Hominidae.
GCGCGCUGCGUCGCCAACUCAGCGGCGGGCAGGGGGCGGAGUCGCAGGGUGGGGCGGUGCGCGUUGAUGUGACGUCCCUGCGCGCGCCGCUUUCUGUUGCCGGGCGCAAUGGCGGAUACGCUGGAGUCCUCGCUGGAGGACCCACUGCGGAGCUUUGUGCGAGUUUUGGAGAAGCGGGAUGGUACAGUGCUACGACUACAGCAGUAUAGCUCCGGUGGCGUGGGUUGCGUUGUGUGGGACGCUGCCAUUGUCCUUUCUAAAUACCUGGAAACGCCCGAGUUUUCUGGCGACGGGGCCCACGCGCUGAGCCGGCGGUCGGUGCUGGAGCUGGGUUCGGGCACCGGGGCCGUGGGGCUCAUGGCUGCUACCCUCGGGGCUGAUGUUGUAGUCACCGAUCUUGAGGAAUUGCAAGACUUGCUGAAGAUGAAUAUUAAUAUGAACAAGCAUCUUGUCACUGGUUCUGUUCAAGCCAAGGUACUGAAAUGGGGGGAAGAAAUAGAAGGCUUUCCUUCUCCACCCGACUACAUACUGAUGGCCGACUGCAUAUACUAUGAAGAGUCUUUGGAGCCAUUGCUGAAAACUCUAAAAGAUAUCAGUGGAUUUGAAACUUGUAUUAUAUGUUGUUAUGAACAACGAACAAUGGGGAAAAAUCCAGAAAUUGAGAAAAAAUAUUUUGAGUGAUAACCCAAACCCUUUUUAUGGGCACAAAUCUAUCACAUUGUGAGUGACUCCUUUGGAGGGUACAUCUAUAUAGGCCUGCAGUUUUGUCUGCUGAAAGGACUACUUUGGUUUAAUGAGAAAGCAGGUAUAUGACUGCCUCAGCUCCUUCAGCUAGAUUUUGACUUUGAAAAAAUUCCUUUGGAAAAACAUGAUGAAGAGUAUCGAAGUGAAGAUAUUCAUAUUAUAUACAUCAGAAAGAAAAAAUCGAAAUUUCCAUCGUGAAGCCUUUAAUCAUCUUACCCAAGGCUCUAACAACCUGGGUAAACUAAAGAUGUGAAUAGAGCAUGUGAAUACAGCAUGGGAAGAUUGUGUUCACAGAUUUUUUUUCCGGCACGUCCUUAGAGAUCCGAUGUAUAGAUGAUGACCACCAGGGGCUGUCUGCAAUAUGAAAAAUUCCUGCUUGCCUGCCUGCCUGCCAAUGGCCCUGAAUCCAGCUUAGGUUACUUAGUUCAGCAUCAAGUUCUUCUUAAAUGUUGGGAAUCAGUUAUUCAAAUAAAAAUUGGUAUUGAGGCGAGGCUGAAAUCUGCCAAAAACAGUGAGCCAACAUGAUUGACUGGACCUUUUACAGGAAGCUAGAGAUAAAUUUCUGAAGAGAACUAUCUGCUAUUAUAUAAUAAUGUUUUAAAUUCAAACUAGUAAAUUUUAGUUUGUCUUCAAAGUUUAAAAGGUUUUCAUUUUGUACAUAAUUAUACAAUAUUUAUCAUUUGUAUUUUCCACUUCAUUUCUUUUAAAAUAUCUUUAAUACUGAAAUGUUCUUUUAAUUUUAAAAAGAACUGAGAUAUUGUCUUGUAUACUUAUAUUGGCCAAAGUUUUCUUUUCCUCCACCAUACAUAUCUAUGUGAUUUAAUCAGUAAAUUGUACUGUAAUGAGUUGCUAAGAAGACAAAUCAGAAGAUUGGAGGAACAAAAGAUAUCUUUACAGAUUUUUCAUUUGAGCAUGGAGUGAGAAUAGAAAGACCAGUUUCAGGCUUAUGCACUUACAAUGUGGCUCAUGCACUUUAUGUAUAUGUUCCAGGAAAAUCUGGCUUAAAAAUACUGGUAUUGUUUACAUGAAGCAGUGAAAGGUUUUUGAAUAACUACAAAUGUAGUUCUAUAUGUAUAUACCAAAUGAAUUUUUGUUCUGUGUCUCUCUGUUUUAUGUUAUGAAGCCAUUCGCUCAUAUACAAUAAUCUGUCAAGGACUUUAAUCAUACUUGUUCCAAAGAGUAGUAACCGGAUGGAAUUCUGGUAUUUACAGGCAUUGGUGCUAGAUGGUACAUUUUAUGUGUUAAAAUAAACAUUGUUUUUGAGA